Molecule: long non-coding RNA, 861 nt
Organism: Cryptomeria japonica (Japanese cedar)
Lineage: Eukaryota; Viridiplantae; Streptophyta; Pinopsida; Cupressales; Cupressaceae
Exons: 2
Source: RefSeq, a predicted model, not a curated record
CGGGCAGCACUACCUAUGUCCAUUAUUUGAGGGUGCCCUGACACACACUUUUUCUUUGCUCUGCAUCUUCAUCUUCCUCUUCCUCUUCCUCUAACUUGGUGACUUCACCAAGGGUUUCGCCGGAGUUUAUUCAGGGUUUGAAGCUAAUCGCUAUUGCAACCAGGAUUUGCUCGUGAUCGGUAUACACUUUAGGUUUGUGACCUCUCUGAUAUAAUUUUAGAGGCCUUUAAUGCUUAAGGGAGUUCAGUAAUUUCGUCUAGGCUUUAAUUCUGAAGUAGAUGUCUUGGAUCCUAACUUCGAGCUUCAAUCCAGGGUUUUAUUGUUGAGAUUUACUGUUAUAGCAAUAUAUUCUUGCAAGAAAUGGAAGCAUCCAGAUUUGCCGUUGCUGUCACAUACGUGGUAAUGCUUACCUUUGUUUACUUUGGGGUUGCGAUUGCAGCGGACGCUUCGGCGCCGACUCCUAUGCCUGAGAAAGGCGCGGCCUCCAUGGCCGUUGCUUCAUCCUUUCUCACUGCUGUCAUUGCAUUCUUCGCUUUCAUUCUCUUCUGAGGGAAUCAAUUUCAUUACAUGAGAUUUAAAUUGUAGGAGAGAUUUCUCUAGAUGGAUUGUUUAGACUCUUUCUUAGUGUUUAGGGCAAGGGCGAGUUAGUUCAAUUUGUUUGUUCAUGUCAUUUACUGAUAUUUUUUGUAUAUAAUUUUGGCUACUGAUGAUUGGCUUCUGUUUCAUUUUGCAUUUGAGGAGGGUUUGUUAUAGAUUUUGUAAUAGGUAGACCCCAAUUAUUUGAUCUGUUCAUAGUGAUUCGAUUUCAAUAGACAGUAUCAUAUACAUUAUAUACAUUCUCCAGGAUUUAAUUGUGCUUUC